AUUGGGACGGUCAGCUGGAGGAUACAUGAUGGUGCAGUGAAAAGAUUGGGGGAGGUCCAAUAUAUAUCCGAUUUCAGACGGAAUCUUAUCUCACUGAGUAGACUGGAUUCGAGAGACUACAGGAUGGUAGCUAGUGGAGGAAUCCUGAAGGUGCUACGUGGCGAUAGGGUUGUUCUGGAAGGAAAGAAGAAGAUGAGAGGACAUUACUACUUGGUGGGGAGCCCAGUGAGAGGUAAAGCUUCGAAAGCCAGG
This 252-nucleotide long non-coding RNA is filed under the name Elaeis guineensis (African oil palm). Its description in RNAcentral is "long non-coding RNA (EGUI_LNC004658)". The record is from RNAcentral. Lineage: Eukaryota; Viridiplantae; Streptophyta; Magnoliopsida; Arecales; Arecaceae.